AAUUCGAUAAAACCUACACCGACACUAGGUUUCAUGAUCUAGGGAAGCUUGCAG
RNAcentral lists this small RNA (54 nucleotides) under Arabidopsis thaliana (thale cress). Its description in RNAcentral is "ATSL123650". Lineage: Eukaryota; Viridiplantae; Streptophyta; Magnoliopsida; Brassicales; Brassicaceae. The record is from RNAcentral.